Molecule: long non-coding RNA, 392 nt
Organism: Spinacia oleracea (spinach)
Lineage: Eukaryota; Viridiplantae; Streptophyta; Magnoliopsida; Caryophyllales; Amaranthaceae
Exons: 2
Source: RefSeq, a predicted model, not a curated record
GGACCUGAAGUCCACACGUGCAAGUGUGCAACCCGCGGAAAUUGUCCUUCUAUCUUCUUUCGCUAUUUCUCAUCUCUCUCCUUACCUUCUCUGUUUUCACUUCUCACGCCUCUCGUCACUCUCCCUUCUUACUUUCCUUUCUCCUCUCUCCUGUAAAUGCAAAAUCUAAUCGCUAAGUCAAGGUAGAUUUUUGAGAAAUUCAGAGAUCCUAAACCCUAACCUCCGAUUCUUCGAUCAUAAGGUAUGCGUGGCACGUCCUGAGCGACCGUUUCACAACAACUAGUAGCAAGUUAUUAAGAACGUAGAUCACCUAAAGACAAUCAGUUGGUUUUAUUUAAUUCAGUUUGUGACGAUAUUUUGGGUAGUUGGUUUAAGUUAUUUAAUUAUGACAA